Molecule: ribosomal RNA, 292 nt
Filed under: uncultured bacterium
Lineage: Bacteria
Description: partial 16S ribosomal RNA
Rfam family: Bacterial small subunit ribosomal RNA
Source: RNAcentral
GUGCCAGCAGCCGCGGUAAUACGUAGGCAGCGAGCGUUGUUCGGAGUUACUGGGCGUAAAGCGUGCGUAGGCGGUGUCCUAAGUCUGGUGUGAAAUCUCCCGGCUCAACUGGGAGGGUGCGCUAGAAACUGGGAUGCUGGAGUGUGGGAGAGGUAAGCGGAAUUCCUGGUGUAGCGGUGAAAUGCGUAGAUAUCAGGAGGAACACCUGCGGUGUAGACGGCUUACUGGACCACUACUGACGCUGAGGCACGAAAGCGUGGGGAGCAAACAGGAUUAGAAACCCGUGUAGUCC